Molecule: ribosomal RNA, 119 nt
Filed under: Flabellia petiolata
Lineage: Eukaryota; Viridiplantae; Chlorophyta; Ulvophyceae; Bryopsidales; Halimedaceae
Source: RNAcentral
UCAAUCCUUUGCGCUCGCCUUCGGCGAGCGCGCACCUUUUCGAAUUUGAAAGUGCAACAAUCUAGGGGUUUUUAUACUGCAAGGGUAGCUUUGUGGGAAAAAAAACCUGAUGCUAGAAG